Molecule: ribosomal RNA, 253 nt
Filed under: uncultured prokaryote
Description: partial 16S ribosomal RNA
Rfam family: Bacterial small subunit ribosomal RNA
Source: RNAcentral
UACGAAGGACCCGAGCGUUAUCCGGAUUCAUUGGGUUUAAAGGGUGCGUAGGUGGCCUAUUAAGUCAGGGGUGAAAGACGGUAGCUUAACUAUCGCAGUGCCUUUGAUACUGAUGGGCUUGAAUACAGAUGAAGUGGGCGGAAUGUGACAAGUAGCGGUGAAAUGCAUAGAUAUGUCACAGAACACCGAUUGCGAAGGCAGCUCACUAAAUUGUGAUUGACACUGAGGCACGAAAGCGUGGGGAUCAAACAGG